UUUCCGUAGGUGAACCUGCGGAAGGAUCAUUCAUAAUAAAGUGUUUUAUGUCACUUUUUAAAAAUCCAUAUCCACCUUGUGUGCAAUGUUAGAUCUCGUCAAUCUUGGCGAGAUUUUUAUACAUCAACUCAUUCUUUAACUAAUUUGUCUGAAAAAUAUUAUGAAUACUUAAUUCAAAAUACAACUUUCAACAACGGAUCUCUUGGCUCUC
This 211-nucleotide unclassified non-coding RNA is filed under the name plant metagenome. RNAcentral describes it as "partial contains small subunit ribosomal RNA, internal transcribed spacer 1, and 5.8S ribosomal RNA". The record is from RNAcentral.